UAGCUCUUUAACAAUUUGGAAAGCUGACGAAUAACAACAAUCCCCUUAUCUACGGAUAAGCGUUGUUAUUCAAUUAAAAGUUCUCAAAUCCUAAAACUGUGUUUUAGGUACCAACACACAUUCAAGUGUUCUUGGAAACAUCCUUGUGAUGUUUAUAUUUGAGUCCGGCAAAAUCGAAUGUCUCUCGCUCAUUCAAUAAUGAGAGACACAAACCUUGGUUGUUUGAACAUACAAGACCUCUUGGGGUUGUAU
Molecule: unclassified non-coding RNA, 252 nt
Filed under: Vibrio nigripulchritudo
Lineage: Bacteria; Pseudomonadati; Pseudomonadota; Gammaproteobacteria; Vibrionales; Vibrionaceae
Description: partial miscellaneous RNA
Source: RNAcentral